This 712-nucleotide long non-coding RNA is filed under the name Ananas comosus (pineapple). RNAcentral's name for it is "long non-coding RNA (ACOM_LNC001052)". The record is from RNAcentral. Lineage: Eukaryota; Viridiplantae; Streptophyta; Magnoliopsida; Poales; Bromeliaceae.
GUGAGCCCUACAGGGCCCCCCAAACCCACACUAUAACAGAAUUAGAUUAUAGGGACACAUGUUUGGGACACUUUUGUGUAAGUGUCCAAUUUAUGCCAAAACUUAAAAAAUAAUCUACUAAUGCCUAUAUAUAAAGCCCAAUCCAACCAAAAAUAAAAGGUUAUUCUACUCAACCCACCUCACCCAGCCCAUUCGGCCCGAUUACAAACAGAAAAAAAGAAAAAGAAAAAUUGAUUACCAUCUCUUCUUCUCCCCUCACUCAAUCCAUUGAAACCCUAGACGAAGAGCCCUUCCCUCUGGUCCUCCUCCGCCACCGCAGCCAACGAGGUAGAGUUUCGAUGGUUGCUAAAUAUUUAAAUAAGUGUUGGUAAAUUAGUAGCACUUUUUUUAGGUUAUAGUGACACUCUUUAACUGUCACUAUAUAUCUAGCGACCCCACAUAUAGCAACAUUUUUUAAGAGUGUCGGCAAUUUAGCUAGCAACAUUUUUUUUGACCUGUGCUGACAUUUAAAAGUGUCGCUAUAGACCGUUUUUGUUGUAGUGCCAGAGAGCCUUGUGGGUUCCCAAUUCAUGUAUUUAUAUAGUUAGUAAUCCGUGCUACGCAACAAUUUUUUUUUCAUACUUUAUAAAUAAUUAAUAAAUAAUAAAAUAUUUUUAUUUAUAAAGUAAAUAACAAUAUAUUUGGCUCUAUUAAAUAAAAAAAUUUUACAGUU